UUUGUAUACUGUUAGGCAAAGAUAGUAAUCCCUGCAUCUGUUGCAUUUAUAAAAUAUUAUAAUCAUAAUGAGUUUCUAUUGUGACCAAUCAUUUUGAGACCUGAAUCUUCUUUCAUGAUUCUUAAUAAUUCUCUUAUUUGUGGAAGUUAACAUGUGAGAUUUGCUUUGAAGUGUAUCUAUGUGAUAAUAUGGGUUCUGCCGCUUGCAUUCAUCCUUUUGGGUAACUUGCUGACAUGGUUCGAAUAUUUGGUGAUUACCAUCUAGCAGAAAACUAUGCACAGCUAAAAGAUCUUUCCUAAUUUGAAUAUGAAGCGUCCUCAUGUCGGCUCAGUAGGAUCAAGCCAUAGCGCCAAGAAGGCGCAUGACAAGUGAAAAAUCGCCGCGAUGUAAACACAAGUCGACAUACUUUUGUACUUACCCACGAUUUAUUUUGUAAGUUUUCUCUUUCGACUGCUAUAUCGGAUCAAAAGUCGGGUCGUCCCGCCGCGAAGCGCGGUGUCACCC
RNAcentral lists this long non-coding RNA (504 nucleotides) under Helianthus annuus (common sunflower). RNAcentral describes it as "hypothetical non coding rna". Lineage: Eukaryota; Viridiplantae; Streptophyta; Magnoliopsida; Asterales; Asteraceae. The record is from RNAcentral.